RNAcentral lists this ribosomal RNA (496 nucleotides) under uncultured bacterium. RNAcentral's name for it is "partial 16S ribosomal RNA". It matches the Rfam family "Bacterial small subunit ribosomal RNA", at positions 28 to 507 of the family's 1533-position model. The record is from RNAcentral.
GAUGAACGCUGGCGGCGUGCCUAAUACAUGCAAGUCGAGCGAACGGACGAGAAGCUUGCUUUUCUGAUGUUAGCGGCGGACGGGUGAGUAACACGUGGAUAACCUACCUAUAAGACUGGGAUAACUUCGGGAAACCGGAGCUAAUACCGGAUAAUAUUUUGAACCGCAUGGUUCAAAAGUGAAAGACGGUCUUGCUGUCACUUAUAGAUGGAUCCGCGCUGCAUUAGCUAGUGGUAAGGUAACGGCUUACCAAGGCAACGAUGCAUAGCCGACCUGAGAGGGUGAUCGGCCACACUGGAACUGAGACACGGUCCAGACUCCUACGGGAGGCAGCAGUAGGGAAUCUUCCGCAAUGGGCGAAAGCCUGACGGAGCAACGCCGCGUGAGUGAUGAAGGUCUUCGGAUCGUAAAACUCUGUUAUUAGGGAAGAACAUAUGUGUAAGUAACUGUGCACAUCUUGACGGUACCUAAUCAGAAAGCCACGGCUAACUACGUG